AGGUCUUGACAUCCAACUAACGAAGUAGAGAUACAUUAGGUGCCCUUCGGGGAAAGUUGAGACAGGUGGUGCAUGGUU
Molecule: ribosomal RNA, 78 nt
Filed under: uncultured Ruminococcus sp.
Lineage: Bacteria; Bacillati; Bacillota; Clostridia; Eubacteriales; Oscillospiraceae
Description: partial 16S ribosomal RNA
Source: RNAcentral